UGGGGAAUAUUGCACAAUGGGCGCAAGCCUGAUGCAGCCAUGCCGCGUGUGUGAAGAAGGCCUUCGGGUUGUAAAGCACUUUCAGCGAGGAGGAAGGUGGUGAACUUAAUACGUUCAUCAAUUGACGUUACUCGCAGAAGAAGCACCGGCUAACUCCGUGCCAGCAGCCGCGGUAAUACGGAGGGUGCAAGCGUUAAUCGGAAUUACUGGGCGUAAAGCGCACGCAGGCGGUUUGUUAAGUCAGAUGUGAAAUCCCCGGGCUCAACCUGGGAACUGCAUUUGAAACUGGCAAGCUAGAGUCUCGUAGAGGGGGGUAGAAUUCCAGGUGUAGCGGUGAAAUGCGUAGAGAUCUGGAGGAAUACCGGUGGCGAAGGCGGCCCCCUGGACGAAGACUGACGCUCAGGUGCGAAAGCGUGGGGAGCAAAACAGGAUUAGAUACCCUGGUAGUCCACGCUGUAAAACGAUGUCGAUUUUGGAGGUUGUGCCCUUGAGGCGUGGCUUCCGGAGCUAACGCGUUAAAUCGACCGCCUGGGGAGUACGGCC
RNAcentral lists this ribosomal RNA (543 nucleotides) under uncultured bacterium. Its description in RNAcentral is "partial 16S ribosomal RNA". It matches the Rfam family "Bacterial small subunit ribosomal RNA", at positions 355 to 887 of the family's 1533-position model. The record is from RNAcentral.